This 447-nucleotide ribosomal RNA is filed under the name uncultured bacterium. Its description in RNAcentral is "bacterial SSU rRNA". It matches the Rfam family "Bacterial small subunit ribosomal RNA", at positions 355 to 825 of the family's 1533-position model. The record is from RNAcentral.
UGGGGAAUAUUGGACAAUGGGGGCAACCCUGAUCCAGCGAUGCCGCGUGUGUGACGAAGGCCUUAGGGUUGUAAAACUCUUUCGUCGGGGACGAUAAUGACGGUACCCGAAGAAGAAGCUCCGGCUAACUUCGUGCCAGCAGCCGCGGUAAUACGAAGGGAGCUAGCGUUGUUCGGAAUCACUGGGCGUAAAGCGCACGUAGGCGGAUAGUUAAGUCAGGGGUGAAAUCCUGGGGCUCAACCCCAGAACUGCCUUUGAUACUGGCUGUCUCGAGGUCGAGAGAGGUUGGUGGAAUUCCUAGUGUAGAGGUGAAAUUCGUAGAUAUUAGGAAGAACACCAGUGGCGAAGGCGGCCAACUGGCUCGAUACUGACGCUGAGGUGCGAAAGCGUGGGGAGCAAACAGGAUUAGAUACCCCAGUAGUCCCUGAGCGGGCUGGCAAGGCGCAU